Molecule: ribosomal RNA, 351 nt
Filed under: uncultured soil bacterium
Lineage: Bacteria
Description: bacterial SSU rRNA
Rfam family: Bacterial small subunit ribosomal RNA
Source: RNAcentral
AGAACGAACGCUGGCGGCAGGCUUAACACAUGCAAGUCGAACGGGCGCGAGCAAUCGCGUCAGUGGCAGACAGGUGAGUAACACGUGGGAACCUUCCUUAAGGUACGGGACAACUCAGGGAAACUUGAGCUAAUACCGUAUACGUCCGUGAGGAGAAAGAUUUAUCGCCUUUAGACGGGCCCGCGUCGGAUUAGCUGGUUGGUGGGGUAACGGCCUACCAAGGCGACGAUCCGUAGCUGAUCUGAGAGGAUGAUCAGCCACACGUGGACUGAGAACACGGCCCAGACCUCCGUACGGGAGGCAGCAGGUAGGGGAAUCGUUAGGACAAGUGGGCGCAAGCCUGAUCCAGCC